This 121-nucleotide ribosomal RNA is filed under the name Petromyzon marinus (sea lamprey). The record is from RNAcentral. Lineage: Eukaryota; Metazoa; Chordata; Hyperoartia; Petromyzontiformes; Petromyzontidae.
GCUACGACCAUUUCAUCCUGAAUGCCUCCGAUAUGGUCUGAGCUUGUGAAGCAAACUGGUGUCGAGUCCUGGUUAGUCGCGUGGAUGGGAGACUGCCUAGGGAUACCAGGUGUUGUUAGGA